Molecule: ribosomal RNA, 351 nt
Filed under: uncultured bacterium
Lineage: Bacteria
Description: bacterial SSU rRNA
Rfam family: Bacterial small subunit ribosomal RNA
Source: RNAcentral
GCUCAGGAUGAACGCUGGCGGCGUGCUUAACACAUGCAAGUCGAACGGGAAUUACUUUAUUGAAACUUCGGUCGAUAUGAUUUAAUUCUAGUGGCGGACGGGUGAGUAACGCGUGGGUAACCUGCCUUGUACAGGGGGAUAACAGUCAGAAAUGACUGCUAAUACCGCAUAAGCGCACAGAGCUGCAUGGCUCGGUGUGAAAAACUCCGGUGGUAUAAGAUGGACCCGCGUUGGAUUAGCUAGUUGGUGAGGUAACGGCCCACCAAGGCGACGAUCCAUAGCCGGCCUGAGAGGGUGAACGGCCACAUUGGGACUGAGACACGGCCCAGACUCCUACGGGAGGCAGCAGUA